Molecule: long non-coding RNA, 2523 nt
Filed under: Malus domestica (apple)
Lineage: Eukaryota; Viridiplantae; Streptophyta; Magnoliopsida; Rosales; Rosaceae
Description: long non-coding RNA (MDOM_LNC002748)
Source: RNAcentral
AAAUUAAAUUUGGUGGGAAUUAAACUUUAAGAAUCACUAAUUAAUUUGGUGCGGGGUGGCCAACAAUCUCAUCCCUAUCCAGAGAAAAAAUAAUAUUAAAAUGACGAGUCCACGAGAAUUAAGUAGUAUGAUACUAAAAUCCUAUGACGAGUAUGAUACUAAAAUUAUAUAUUUGUCUGCAGACAUGCAUAUAAACCUGUCUAUAAGUCUAUCACUAUAUGCCAAAUAACUAUUUGUGUGCAUACAUAUAUAGAGAUUAGAGACCUAUACGUUUGAAAGGAUAAAAUACUUUAGAAUGAGUUAUUCCUUUUAUCCCAAGAAAAUGAUCUGUUCGACCUAGUCCUCAUGAGAGUAGGACUGUGAAAGGAUAAAGUAUUAGGAUGGACAAUCUAGUCCUACACUUGCCAAGGAUCAGAAUGAUCCUUGGAUAAAUAUGAAUUAUCCCAAGGAUCAUAAUGACCAUGUGAUCAUAUAAAGAUAAAUGAAUCUCAUAAUGGGAUUAGGUUUAGAGUCUUGGUGAGAAUCAAAGAGGCCAAGACUCUGAUCCUUGGAUAAAUAUGAAUUAUCCUAGGGAUCAUAAUGACUAUGAUAAUAUAAAGAUAAAUGAAUCUCAUAAUGGGAUUAGGUUUAGAGUCCUGGUGAGAAUCAAAGAGGCCAAAACUGCAUGGCGAUGAAGUUUCUGCUAAAGGGGAUAAAAGGAAAAUUCAAGCAAAUGCUGAGCAAACACAGUCUCAUUAGGACUCUGCUUCGGCAGGCUUGUUUAUUAUGGAAGUGUUGCCUAUAAAUAGAGGAGGCUUCAACUCUACUAACGACUCAAACGAUCUACAUCAAAACCCUUCUCACACCUUUUGAGAAAAAUGCUAACUAUCAUAAUCCUCCCAUCAACACAUCUUUACUUCGGAUAAGUGAAAAGCACUGUGUUGACAAAUCCGUGACACCAUCAGUUCGGAUAAGUGAACCGCACUAUACCCGUAGAACCAAGCAACUUAAGAGCAUCUUCAAUUCGAACAAGUAAACUACACUGCUUUUGGUUGGUUGGUUAUCUAUCCAAGUCUUGGUAGACAAAAUUUUUCCCAAAAGGGGUAAUCUCAUUAGCUUCUCGGUGAAGUGAGGUGUUACCAAGUUACCCCUUUUUGGCAUAGUGAAAACCGUACGAAUUAUUGAACUUUGCAUUGAUCUAGUAACCUUGUCUUUAGGUUCUAAAACCCAAAGUCGAGAUGUAUUUCUUCCUCGACCGUAAUCGCUCGAGUAAAGAAGUUAGCAGCGCAUUCGACACCACGACCACAUCUAUUCUACUUUCAUGAUCGAGCUCGGUUGUGAAUUGGCACACCUGCAUUCACAAGAAGGACGUAGUUAGCUAGUAAUUACUUGACAUGCGCACCAUGUAGGCAUUGAAAUUUUAUGGUCAAUAAUUUGGCAUGACGGAUGGGAUCAGUGCUAGGAUAACUAUGAAGUUCAUGACCAUCGAAACUUGCUCUGUUAAGAAGAAAACAGCUAUGGUGAAAUCAUCUGCAAAUCAGUCAUCUAUGAUUCAGACGUCUGCAAACCAAGCAAUUGUGCUUAUCGGUGAGAAUUGGCACAUGAUCAUUCUAUUUGCCGUCACACCAGACACUACAACCAAAAGUUAUUGGUGAUGUUUAUAGAACGGACAAAAAAGACCUGCUGAUUUCGAACCUCAGGAGGGCAUGAUCGAAGAGGAAAAUGAAGAAGGCGAUGAAGCAUUAUACAUGCCCUUCAUAACUUUUCUUUGACAUAGACUCGUCGAACCCACUAUACAUUUACAGUACACUUUAGAGAGUGAUUUUGGCCAACGCAAGCUCAUGCAGGACAAAAUGAAUCAGUACUAUGAAUGGAUACAGAGGUGUCAUGAAGAAACGAAUCGUUUGUUGACUGCUUUAUUUCACCAAAUUUCACCAGUCUAGGAUGAACAACAUUAUCGAAAAACAGGUGGCGAGUGUUGCACAACCGAGAAAGAAAGUGUCUCUUGAAAUGAUAGGACACUCCAGACGCAACAACUUGAGGCCAUACGAGUCGAAAUAGGGUCGGCCAGGAUUCUCCUUAUGGGUCGUUACCUUUCAGUGGCAUUGCUAGGAAUAAAGAAACAGGAGACCUAACCAGUGACGGAUCCAAAAUUUUAACAUAGGGUGGUGAGUGCUGGUGCUCUAUCAUAGUAGAAUGUUCUUUUUAUAUUUUUAAUGGUGAGUGUAAAUAUAUGAUGAGUAAAAAGAUAAAACAAAGAUGUGUGCAUAGUAUCACUCUAAAAAAGUUAUACUAUAUUAGAAAUUUGGUUUAUUAUUUUAAUUUAUGGGCCAGGUGAGGCAACCUCAUUGGCCACCAAUUGCAAAAGAAGUUAAAAGGUCUUACAUCUGAAGGCACCACACCUCCUGAUAUUAUCUUACUUUUCUCAGCAUCGAAGCCACGUCCUAUUUCAUGAAUUUCUUAUUAAUGAGUGCGCUAGGUGGAGCAACCUCAUUGGAGAUUGAUUACAAACAGAGACAAAAGGUUGCUCUGCAUCGUCUUCUU